This is a long non-coding RNA of Bradysia coprophila, 505 nucleotides long. RefSeq lists it as uncharacterized. Lineage: Eukaryota; Metazoa; Arthropoda; Insecta; Diptera; Sciaridae. The record is from RefSeq and is a predicted model, not a curated record.
UUUAAUGAGCCAAACACACUCAACAUUUAUUGAAAUCGUUCUGAAUUAAUUAAAUUUUUUUGUACAUUUAUUUCCACUUGAACCUUCGUUCAGUGAGUGUGUAACAUUAAUUUAUUAUCAGUACAGGGCCGUUGCUAUAUAUAUUGAUUUUACUAUGAAAUUGUUACAAAUUUUGUUCAUCCAAUUGAUACAAGCAGCUUUCAUAUUUUCAUACGUUCUGUCGCUUCCAAUUCCUGGUAUAUUUCCUCUGCCGCCGGAAUACGAAACUGACGACUAGUGGCAAGGGUGGUACUAUAUUAUAUUGGGGAUACAUCGAGUGUUUAAGUGUUAAAUCGAUUAUCGAGUUUUUAUACAUUUGUCUAUCAUUUGAUUGGAUAGACGACCUGUGAGUGGAGAGCAUAAAUUAUAUUGUUGUUGUUGUUUUUGAAUUUCUAUUUUAAAUUUGUUAAAAUCAUGGAAAAUAUAUUCAAAUCAAGUUUCAGACUUGAUAAAUAUUUCAAAUUUU